AAAGAAAAAAGUUCUUUCGCAUGAUAGCAAUGUUUUUCGGGUGACAAUAAUUUAUACCAUUUUUGAGUGAAAUUAAAGAAAAAAAACUUAAUGUAAAAAGCCAAACUAUGGCAUGUAUUUUAGAUCGCUAGCUGCCUUUUCUGUUAAUAAAACGAUACAAACGACGACAAAGAUGGUUUCUUGGAAAUAUUUGAUGUUAUUGGUGUUAAUAGGGGAUACUUAUUCCGCUGAGUAUCUGCCUGAGGAUUAUCUUAAUGAAGUCUGUCCAAUAUACGAUAAAGUGGUGGAUGAUAUUUGUUUAUAUCUCGAAAGGAGCGCCGGAAUCGAGCUUGUUAAUAGGGAAACCAUGUGUGCCAUGUCUUGCGAGGGAUUGAUUAUUAGAGGACUCUAUAGUGCUCCGGUCCAUGAAAACGUUAUACGAAAAUUUAAGAAAGUAUAAAUCUAUUAAACGAAAACACCGGUCUAACUCAAUGAUGAUAAGGAGGCCAAAUAAGAAUUUUCUGAGACGCAAAUAAAUGACGAUCAAUCCGCCCAAAAUACAGCGGUACUUGUUUUAUGAGUACGGAAUGACUUGCCUUUCACUUUUUGAUAUCGUUUCAACUACAGUUUGGAAAACAUUCCAUUAUGCUUUAUGUUUGAGAAACCCGAUUAAAAUGAUUAUGACAUUAAUUCAAAGGGAGUGCUGAACAGUUCAGUAUCAGUUUUCUUUACAGCCUAUGAGAAGUUGAAAUGAUAACACAACAAUAAUAAGUUAUCAAUUUUCUCUAGUUUUGGUGUAGUUUUUUAAUAACUCGCAAUCUUUUGAUUAAUUUAAGACAAUCAAUCAUCAUUUCUGUUGUGGCAAGGUGAAUUGAAUUGAAGUCGCAAGCAUAUGUGAAGCAUCUGGGAAAAAUUGGUUGUUGAGACACCAGCU
Molecule: long non-coding RNA, 913 nt
Organism: Glossina fuscipes
Lineage: Eukaryota; Metazoa; Arthropoda; Insecta; Diptera; Glossinidae
Exons: 3
Source: RefSeq, a predicted model, not a curated record